Molecule: ribosomal RNA, 253 nt
Filed under: uncultured bacterium
Lineage: Bacteria
Description: partial 16S ribosomal RNA
Rfam family: Bacterial small subunit ribosomal RNA
Source: RNAcentral
UACGUAGGGUGCAAGCGUUAAUCGGAUUCACUGGGCUUAAAGGGAGCGUAGGUGGGCUGGUAAGUCAGUGGUGAAAUCUCCGAGCUUAACUUGGAAACUGCCAUUGAUACUAUUAGUCUUGAAUAUUGUGGAGGUCAGCGGAAUAUGUCAUGUAGCGGUGAAAUGCUUAGAGAUGACAUAGAACACCAAUUGCGAAGGCAGCUGGCUACGCAUAUAUUGACACUGAGGCUCGAAAGCGUGGGGAUCAGACAGG